This 545-nucleotide ribosomal RNA is filed under the name Macrophomina phaseolina. Its description in RNAcentral is "eukaryotic LSU rRNA". The stretch from base 195 to 348 matches the Rfam family "5.8S ribosomal RNA". The record is from RNAcentral. Lineage: Eukaryota; Fungi; Ascomycota; Dothideomycetes; Botryosphaeriales; Botryosphaeriaceae.
GAAGGAUCAUUACCGAGUUGAUUCGGGCUCCGUCCCGAUCCUCCCACCCUUUGUAUACCUACCUCUGUUGCUUUGGCGGGCCGCGGUCUUCCGCGGCCGCCCCCCGRWUUUGGGGGGUGGCUAGUGCCCGCCAGAGGACUAUCAAACUCCAGUCAGUAAACGUUGCAGUCUGAAAAAAAUAUUAAAUAAACUAAAACUUUCAACAACGGAUCUCUUGGUUCUGGCAUCGAUGAAGAACGCAGCGAAAUGCGAUAAGUAAUGUGAAUUGCAGAAUUCAGUGAAUCAUCGAAUCUUUGAACGCACAUUGCGCCCCUUGGUAUUCCGGGGGGCAUGCCUGUUCGAGCGUCAUUUCAACCCUCAAGCUCUGCUUGGUAUUGGGCACCGUCCUUUGCGGGCGCGCCUCAAAGACCUCGGCGGUGGCGUCUUGCCUCAAGCGUAGUAGAAUACACCUCGCUUCGGAGCGUAAGGCGUCGCCCGCCGGACGAACCUUCUGAACUUUUCUCAAGGUUGACCUCGGAUCAGGUAGGGAUACCCGCUGAACUUAA